RNAcentral lists this ribosomal RNA (979 nucleotides) under Staphylococcus aureus. RNAcentral describes it as "partial 23S ribosomal RNA". It matches the Rfam family "Bacterial large subunit ribosomal RNA", at positions 283 to 1263 of the family's 2925-position model. Lineage: Bacteria; Bacillati; Bacillota; Bacilli; Caryophanales; Staphylococcaceae. The record is from RNAcentral.
GCUUGCUUGUUGGGGUUGUAGGACACUCUAUACGGAGUUACAAAGGACGACAUUAGACGAAUCAUCUGGAAAGAUGAAUCAAAGAAGGUAAUAAUCCUGUAGUCGAAAAUGUUGUCUCUCUUGAGUGGAUCCUGAGUACGACGGAGCACGUGAAAUUCCGUCGGAAUCUGGGAGGACCAUCUCCUAAGGCUAAAUACUCUCUAGUGACCGAUAGUGAACCAGUACCGUGAGGGAAAGGUGAAAAGCACCCCGGAAGGGGAGUGAAAUAGAACCUGAAACCGUGUGCUUACAAGUAGUCAGAGCCCGUUAAUGGGUGAUGGCGUGCCUUUUGUAGAAUGAACCGGCGAGUUACGAUUUGAUGCAAGGUUAAGCAGUAAAUGUGGAGCCGUAGCGAAAGCGAGUCUGAAUAGGGCGUUUAGUAUUUGGUCGUAGACCCGAAACCAGGUGAUCUACCCUUGGUCAGGUUGAAGUUCAGGUAACACUGAAUGGAGGACCGAACCGACUUACGUUGAAAAGUGAGCGGAUGAACUGAGGGUAGCGGAGAAAUUCCAAUCGAACCUGGAGAUAGCUGGUUCUCUCCGAAAUAGCUUUAGGGCUAGCCUCAAGUGAUGAUUAUUGGAGGUAGAGCACUGUUUGGACGAGGGGCCCCUCUCGGGUUACCGAAUUCAGACAAACUCCGAAUGCCAAUUAAUUUAACUUGGGAGUCAGAACAUGGGUGAUAAGGUCCGUGUUCGAAAGGGAAACAGCCCAGACCACCAGCUAAGGUCCCAAAAUAUAUGUUAAGUGGAAAAGGAUGUGGCGUUGCCCAGACAACUAGGAUGUUGGCUUAGAAGCAGCCAUCAUUUAAAGAGUGCGUAAUAGCUCACUAGUCGAGUGACACUGCGCCGAAAAUGUACCGGGGCUAAACAUAUUACCGAAGCUGUGGAUUGUCCUUUGGACAAUGGUAGGAGAGCGUUCUAAGGGCGUUGAAGCAUGAUCG